Molecule: ribosomal RNA, 485 nt
Filed under: uncultured Glomus
Lineage: Eukaryota; Fungi; Glomeromycota; Glomeromycetes; Glomerales; Glomeraceae
Description: SSU rRNA
Rfam family: Eukaryotic small subunit ribosomal RNA
Source: RNAcentral
AGCAGCCGCGGUAAUUCCAGCUCCAAUAGCGUAUAUUAAAGUUGUUGCAGUUAAAAAGCUCGUAGUUGAAUUUCGAGACCGGCUUACUGGUCGUGCUAUUGUGCGUACUGGUAUAAUCGGUUUCUCCUUUCUGACGAACUAUAAUGCCAUUAAUUUGGUGUUAUAGGGAAUCAGGACUGUUACUUUGAAAAAUUAGAGUGUUUAAAGCAGGCUCACGCUUGAAUACAUUAGCAUGGAAUAACGGAAUAGGACGUUUGAUUCUAUUUUGUUGGUUUCUAGGAUCGACGUAAUGAUUAAUAGGGAUAGUUGGGGGCAUUAGUAUUCAAUUGUCAGAGGUGAAAUUCUUGGAUUUAUUGAAGACUAACUACUGCGAAAGCAUUUGCCAAGGAUGUUUUCAUUAAUCAAGAACGAAAGUUAGGGGAUCGAAGACGAUCAGAUACCGUCGUAGUCUUAACCAUAAACUAUGCCGACUAGGGAUCGGAUGA